UAUGUUGGCCAAAACCAAUGAAUAGGAGGGAUUCGCAUAUUAGAUAGGAGUGAGGGUAGCAACACAGUAGUCAUUUACUGUUUAAGCUAAUUUUGAGUUAUUCCCUACUCUUUUACCCAUUUAUCUCUAUGGUAGGUAUUAACUGCAGCAUUAUGAUUAAAUGUCAUCUUCUGCUUUCCUCGAAUUUACUAAUUCAUGACUCUUAUAGAUUCUCCCCAUUUUUGGUACUUCCUUGAGCUUGUGGAUGAAUCUUUCAAAAAUAUCCAUUGCAAUUGUGGUACACAUGGAUGAGGUAAUUCAUAAAUUUCAUAUAACAGGGGCACAAGUGCUCUACAUGUCAAUCUUUUGCGAUAUUCCAAAAUGCCUAAACUUUACAAACGACAGCUACAAGCCAUGCGUUUUAAUCCUUCACUGCCAAUCGUUGGUAACAAUAGUUGUUUUGUCAGGUGGGAAGAAUACGUUUUGGGUCAUGUACAUAUGUAUUUUCAUAUAAGAAUGCGACAUAACAUCCUUCUUUAAAUUUAGUUUUGUUUAGAAAACUGUAAAAUUAUAAACUCGAAAUCUGUUGGUACCAUUAGUUUUUACUACAAUUGACAUUAGGUACAAUUUGUCUUACUAUCUUGGGAAAUUUUGGUGUAGAGGAAUGGAAAAGGGCUUGAAGAUGAGCUGCCUUUUGAAGCAAAUGGAGGCUACACCAAGUCAAGGAGGAGGAGCUUAAUUAAUGGUACAAUAGACACGCUGGCUGCACACUUAUUUGGUAAUAUGUUGCAGGUAUUUUUCUCUAAAAACGAAUGACUUGGAGAGAUAGUCUAGAGUCCUGAAUCUUUGCAUCAUGAGGAGGAUAUGGUUCAGUGGACAGAAAGUUUUAUAGGCUGAAGCUUUAUAGGCUGUUCUGUUUGAAAACCGCAGCUAGGAAGAUGACCGCAUAAUCAAGCAAGUUGGGAGACCUGGUGCUAAAAGAUUGUUUGUUCUUGCAAAGUUCUUACCAGGAGGAAAGCCAAUACUCAGUUGAGUGGUUGUGGCAAAUCCAACCAAGCAAGGAGAAACUCAAUGGCAGUUAAUGGUGAAUAGCAAGGAGGAGUUUAAUGAAAUUCUCAAUUUUUUCUCUUU
Molecule: RNA transcript, 1110 nt
Organism: Prunus dulcis (almond)
Lineage: Eukaryota; Viridiplantae; Streptophyta; Magnoliopsida; Rosales; Rosaceae
Exons: 4
Source: RefSeq, a predicted model, not a curated record